RNAcentral lists this small RNA (113 nucleotides) under Arabidopsis thaliana (thale cress). RNAcentral describes it as "ATSL092420". The record is from RNAcentral. Lineage: Eukaryota; Viridiplantae; Streptophyta; Magnoliopsida; Brassicales; Brassicaceae.
AAAAGAAAGAGCUCAGUUAAGAGGCCAUAUCACCAGAUAAACUGGAGAAAUGCAAAGGACCCAACCUUUACAGAAACCGAUUUCAUCACAGCUCUAUUGCACCAGCCGGGAAA